This is a long non-coding RNA of Saccostrea echinata, 318 nucleotides long. RefSeq lists it as uncharacterized. The transcript has 3 exons. NCBI's taxonomy places the organism in Eukaryota, Metazoa, Mollusca, Bivalvia, Ostreida, Ostreidae. The record is from RefSeq and is a predicted model, not a curated record.
AAAAGACAAACAGCCACGAAGGAUGUAGUUGUUGAAUUGGCUGUGUACACAGACAAAGACUUUACGGAACUACUACACCAGAAAGAAACCGCUAGGAGAAUUGAACUUAUGAUCUUGAAAUACAAUGGGGUGCAGUUUGAAUUUUCUCGGCCUGAACUCGGUUACAACGUAAAACUACAAAUUAAAUAUCUGAGUUUUUGGGAGACAGACCCGCCUUCUUACAACAACUCGUUCUAUGUUCACGUUGCACUGCAUACAUUUUGUGAAGGAGUCUAUGACAAUCCAAUUAAAUACGACAUCCUAUAUCUUCAUAGUGGG